CCUACGGGGGCAGCAGUGGGGAAUCUUGCGCAAUGGGCGAAAGCCUGACGCAGCAACGCCGCGUGCGGGAUGAAGGCCUUCGGGUUGUAAACCGCUUUUAACAGGAACGAAAAUGACUGUACCUGUAGAAUAAGGUGCGGCCAACUACGUGCCAGCAGCCGCGGUGACACGUAGGCACCAAGCGUUGUCCGGAUUUAUUGGGCGUAAAGAGCUCGUAGGCGGUUCGAUAAGUCGGGUGUGAAAAACUCUGGGCUUAACCCAGAGACGCCACUCGAUACUAUUGUGACUAGAGUUCGGUAGGGGAGCGGGGAAUUCCUAGUGUAGCGGUGAAAUGCGCAGAUAUUAGGAGGAACACCGGUGGCGAAAGGCGCCGCUCUGGGCCGAAACUGACGCUGAGGAGCGAAAGCGUGGGUAGCAAACAGGAUUAGAUACCCUGGUAGUCCACGCCGUAAACGGUGGGGCACUAGGUGUGGGCUCCAACCAACGGAGUCCGCGCCGUCGCUAACGCAUUAAGUGCCCCGCCUGGGGAGGUACGGCCGCGAGUAAACGUACGAAAGAAGUAGACGGCGNGAGACGNGCCGAACGGACGACGACGAGGGAGUUAGG
RNAcentral lists this ribosomal RNA (606 nucleotides) under uncultured bacterium. Its description in RNAcentral is "bacterial SSU rRNA". The stretch from base 1 to 523 matches the Rfam family "Bacterial small subunit ribosomal RNA", at positions 338 to 873 of the family's 1533-position model. The record is from RNAcentral.